UGGACCCUUUACGCUUAAAUUGGUAACUGAAAUUUCUGCUGUUUUGACAUUUAACAAAAUGAAUGUUCCUUGUUUUUCUCCCCCGAGGAGCAUGGCCAACAUAGAGGACAUGGGUGUUGUUUACUUGGACUUGGGUUCAAUCCAAUUGAAUCGCUAACGUGAGAACCAGGUGCACCUCCGGGACAGGUACCACGUCCUGCGAAAUCUUUCCAUUCAGACAGUCUAAUUGGCCUACAACGACAGCAAACGCAAUCAGUGGUUUGCAAUCAAUUGCUCGUGAUAUACACACUUGAGACGACCUUGGCACUGCAAUUGAGGAAUGCCAUUUUUGUGCACUUGAGUUUCACUUGCCCUCUCCAAUAAAUGCACUCUGGCCGGAUAUGUAGCUGCUUUAUUUCAGUCGAUGUCCCUCUUACCACUUCCGACUUUGAGCAUUUGAACGCCCGAAGCUGUUCUUAAUGGAGCUGAAUUCUCGAGAAGCCGAUCUUGUUAUGCAUAGGGAUGGUUUCUGGACUUGAAGUGUCUGCUCGUCAAAAGUACAGACUGCUUGCAUGGUUUCAGAAGCAAUGUGUAUUGGAAACAGAUGGUUUGCUUUGUCGGGGAAAAGUCGCGCUCAGCUGAAAUCUGCGUUCUUCAAUUCCCACUUUAGAAUUAUGUUUACAUGAUCAUAGCACUGAAUUCUUCGCGGUUGCGAAUCCUCGUCUAAGUAGCCAAGCCCACGAGCAAUGUCUUCACAGAUUUUGGACGGCGUUGGCCAACGCGUUUGUUACCUGGUCGUGGACGACACAUAAGUGGCAAUGAAUGCUGUAUCGACAAACUUUUGAGAGUCAGUAGAACAGAUUGGAGUGUUCUGUUAUGUGAAGAGCAAAUUACUAGGAGCAUCUAAUCGGGAGAUUUGAAACCAUCAUGAGGCAAAAAUAUUGUUCCAAUAACAUCAACAUCGGAAACAGAGAAGGUCGAGAAACAACUGAAAGUUGGAGAGGAAGCG
Molecule: long non-coding RNA, 988 nt
Filed under: Physcomitrium patens
Lineage: Eukaryota; Viridiplantae; Streptophyta; Bryopsida; Funariales; Funariaceae
Description: long non-coding RNA (PPAT_LNC011759)
Source: RNAcentral